GGGGGUAUAGCUCAGGGAUAAAGCACCUGAUUAGCAUGCAUGAGGUCCUGGGUUCAAUUUCCAGUAUUUCCA
Molecule: transfer RNA, 72 nt
Filed under: Macaca mulatta (Rhesus monkey)
Lineage: Eukaryota; Metazoa; Chordata; Mammalia; Primates; Cercopithecidae
Also listed under: 1 other name
Rfam family: tRNA
About the family: Transfer RNA (tRNA) molecules are approximately 80 nucleotides in length.
Source: Rfam by way of RNAcentral